CUGCAGCUCAAGUGGUGAUCAUUAUUAUUGGGCCUAAAACGUCCGUAGCCUGUUUAGUAAAUGCCUGGGUAAAUCGUGUAGCUUAACUAUACGAAUUCCGGGUAGACUGUUAAACUUGAGACCGGGAGAGGCUAGAGGUACUCCUGGGGUAGAGGUGAAAUUCUGUAAUCCUAGGGGGACCACCAGUGGCGAAGGCGUCUAGCUAGAACGGGUCUGACGGUGAGGGACGAAGCCCUGGGGCACAAACCGGAUUAGAUACCCGAGUAGUCC
Molecule: ribosomal RNA, 270 nt
Filed under: uncultured archaeon
Lineage: Archaea
Description: partial 16S ribosomal RNA
Rfam family: Archaeal small subunit ribosomal RNA
Source: RNAcentral